AUUGAACGCUGGCGGCAUGCUUUACACAUGCAAGUCGAGCGGUAACAGGCCGCAAGGUGCUGACGAGUGGCGAACGGGUGAGUAAUGCAUCGGAACGUGCCCAGUCGUGGGGGACAACGCAGCGAAAGCUGUGCUAAUACCGCAUACGAUCUAUGGAUGAAAGCGGGGGACCGUAAGGCCUCGCGCGAUUGGAGCGGCCGAUGUCAGAUUAGGUAGUUGGUGGGGUAAAGGCUCACCAAGCCAACGAUCUGUAGCUGGUCUGAGAGGACGACCAGCCACACUGGGACUGAGACACGGCCCAGACUCCUACGGGAGGCAGCAGUGGGGAAUUUUGGACAAUGGGCGCAAGCCUGAUCCAGCAAUGCCGCGUGCAGGAAGAAGGCCUUCGGGUUGUAAACUGCUUUUGUACGGAACGAAAAGGUUUGGGUUAAUACCCUGGGCCGAUGACGGUACCGUAAGAAUAAGCACCGGCUAACUACGUGCCAGCCGCCGCAGUAA
Molecule: ribosomal RNA, 498 nt
Filed under: uncultured bacterium
Lineage: Bacteria
Description: partial 16S ribosomal RNA
Rfam family: Bacterial small subunit ribosomal RNA
Source: RNAcentral